Molecule: small nucleolar RNA, 136 nt
Organism: Sorex araneus (European shrew)
Lineage: Eukaryota; Metazoa; Chordata; Mammalia; Eulipotyphla; Soricidae
Product: U8 small nucleolar RNA
Exons: 1
Source: RefSeq, a predicted model, not a curated record
UCGUCAGAUAGUAUAAUUCUUACCUGUUCCUCUACUCAGAGGGCAGGUAGAACAUGAUGAUUGGAGUUCACAUGAUUUGUGAUUAACGUCUCUGUGUAAUUGGGGCUGGCAACACUCUCAAUUCCUCCCAUCUGAU